Long non-coding RNA from Papaver somniferum (opium poppy), 2063 nucleotides. RefSeq lists it as uncharacterized. Lineage: Eukaryota; Viridiplantae; Streptophyta; Magnoliopsida; Ranunculales; Papaveraceae. The record is from RefSeq and is a predicted model, not a curated record. The transcript is spliced from 15 exons.
UUCCUUAUGCUCUCGUUUCUCUUAUUCUUUUCUUCUCUCUGAAAAGUGAAAAUUGAUUAUAUAAAAACAGAGAAUGAAUCUGUAUAGAUGAUGAGGGUGAUGGUAUAAUUGUUGAUGUACGAAGGAGAAUAAGUAGGAAUUUUAGGUUCUAUGUGUGAGUUAAUGAAUCAGGGAGAGAGUUAGGGUUAGGGUUUAUUCUUGUGGUGAAGAAAUCAUGAAAAGAUUAUGGAUCUGUUGAGAACCCCGGUGAUUCAUGGUGGUGCUGUUAAAUCAAGUGUUGAUUCAACUCAGCAGAAAUGUCUCUCCCCGCAUCGACACAGAUAAGGAAACAGGUGCUGAUAGAUGCCGUUAGAACUGCAGAUAAGGACUCAGGGGCGCCAUUUUCCUGUUUUGUGUAUACGCUGACUAUAAAAUUACCAAGUUAUUGCUAUUUUUCCUUGCUGAAAAGUUCAAACUUGGUUGUAUAAUUUGUUAUCUUUGUAGACAAUACACGAGCAUGCUGAAUAUGGUCUUGAAGCAACUUGGCUUAAUAAAGAAUACGAGAAUACGGUGCCACAGUCAAAGGAUAUACAUGUACUCAAGGCUGACCCAUCUUUUUUCCAGUCCAAAUGACUAGAGAAUGAAACUGAUAUGAAUGACGACACUGAUGAUAUUUGCAAGUGUAGGUCCUUUGAAAAGAGGAUGUAGGUUAAUUUUUGCAGUGUAGAUAACAGUGUCGAUAGAUGCUUAUGGAUGUGAGCAUAUACACCCAUAAUCAUAAGUGGUGUAGAUGGGAAACAUAUGCAGAUCUCCACAAAAAGGUUUAUUAUUUUUUCCAUUCAAAUGGGUAACGAUGGUUUGCUCCAGAGAUGGUGAUUGGUGUACUUGCCCAGAAAGGUACAUACUUUCUUUAAAGAUGCUUAAGAUCUUAAGCUCAAAGGCCAAUUCAAUACUAGAGAAGUUGAAUCAAAUGCUAUAUAUGGUUGUACGAGGAGGAGGAGCAGUUCAAAAAGCAGGUUGAGCACUUAAGAAAGAGGUUUAUCCACUUUAUUGCUCCAGGGAGGGCUUGCCGGUGAUAUACAGUGUGUAGUCCCAGCUUCAGGAUUUGGUUUUAGUGCACAACAGAUAUAUAAUGGUUGCAACUGUUCGUUGUGAAGGGAUUGCCAAUAAAAAGAUGUCACUUGACCUCAGAUAAGUUGGCGACUUUAAUUUAAUUGGGCAGUUUGGAGUUGGGUUUUAUUGUCUAUCUUGUUGCCGAUUAUGUCGAAUUCAUUAGCAAGCAUGAUGAUCACAAACAGUACAUAUGGGAGUCUAAGGCUGAUGAAAAGAUUUUGUUAUUUCUGAGGAUGAAUUGAAUAAAUCACUAGGACGAGGAACUGAAAUUAGGUUGCACCUAAGCUGGGGAGUUUGGGAGGAAGAUAAACUUAAAGUUGUAUGAUCUAAUUGGUGUCUGCGGAUGAUGUAACCAAGGAAGUGGAUAUUGAAGAUGACAGCGAGGAUGACAGCGAAGCUGAAUCAUCUGAAAGGAGUUUCAUAGAGGGUAAAGAAGUAGAGGAAGAUGGUAAUCUUCCUGGAUGUUUUCUCCGAGCUCAAGCCAUUGGUCUCAUGCCUAUAAUCGACCAGAUGCAGAUCAGUGUUGUUGGCUGGUUAAUGUUAAUACGGUACUUAUACAAGGGAUCUGUAUAUUCAUGUUGGCUGGCCUCUAUAUCGAAGAUAUGGGCAUGCAUUUGAGGCAUUCAAGUUGAUUGUGGCUGAUCCUGAUACCAAUCCAAGCUUGCACUGAAGCAAUAGAUAGCCACAAGGAUAAACUGGUAGUAAAGGAGGCACCAAGAGAAGUGAGUAUUAACUUUCUUGAAAUCAAUAUUAAAACCUAGUGCAACAUAUAUCGUAAGAGCUAUGUAACAUGUGGUUGUGUAAACACUUUUAUUCAUUUUAGUAAACAACUAUGGAGUAUGAAUUAUGAAACUGAAUUUGAAUGCUAUUGAGCAAGCACGAUGACAACUUUUCCAGCAUAGAAUGAAUGUAAAAGAGUGUUUAGGUACUUAUCAGAAUUUGAUACUUAACAGGAUCUUUUUUGGUACUUA